This 35129-nucleotide long non-coding RNA is filed under the name Zostera marina. RNAcentral describes it as "long non-coding RNA (ZMAR_LNC002617)". Lineage: Eukaryota; Viridiplantae; Streptophyta; Magnoliopsida; Alismatales; Zosteraceae. The record is from RNAcentral.
CCAGUUCAAUCCUUUUCCAAGAAUGUUUUGGUAAUAAUAAAAAAAUACUUUUCAGGUAAUUGAGAUAAUAUCUUGGUCUCAUUGAGAUGAUCAUAUUUUUCCGAUUCAGGUAAUUGAGUCUGUUGAAUUAAAAAAUAAAUUGCAACAAUCCCAUCAGUAUUUGAUUGCUAAGGUUGAAGCUUCUCUCCUACAAUUGAAGCAGAAAGCAAACAGCUUUGAUCAAGUUGCGGUGUGUUAGAUAAGCUGUACACUUUUAUUAAUUUAUUCCCAAUAGUUUUAGUGGAGGGAUCGUAAUCUUUAAUUUAGUUUAUUUUCUUCUUGCAGUCCAUUUUGGAAAACCUGGAUAGUGGUAAACAAGUGCUUCAGCUUGCAGAUGUUGAAUGUGAAUCGUUAACUUUCAAUUAUGAUUUCCAAUCACGACCAUGGUGGACACCAGCUGUAGAUGUCAACUAUCUUUUAGGUUUCAGAAUUACAUCUUUCUUUUCAAUGUUUUAUUUUUGAAAUUGCUAUCUUCAACUAAAUUUUAAUAUUCACAGGACCAUUUGAUGUUAAUCUUGUUUUAUCCCAGGAGUCACUGGUAUAUUUACAGUACUUUACACUCUAAAAACUUGGCAUGUACAUUUUAUCUAUCUACAUCUUAUUAUAUAAUGUUCGAUCCAGAAUAGAUCUGAGCACCACAAUCGGUAUGGAUCUCUUCCGUUGGUAAGGGAUUCAUGCAAUAUGAUUGAUAGUCUUCAACUGAGAUUUAGUCCCUAGGGAGAUAUUGUACUCUGGACAACUGUGCUAAUUUUAAUGUCCCGUUUUUGGGAUCAUUUCAAUUAUCAAGUAACCAGAUCUUGAGUUGAUCAGGUGGUAUUGUCAUGCUCCGAUAAACCACUCAAAUUCUCUCCUCUCAAUUGUCUGGGGAGCUCUGGACUAGAACUUCUCCUUUAGGGAAAAUGUAAUGACAUGCAUUUCCAUCUAAUUAGACCAGCUCAUUCUAUAUAUUGGUCACUGGUCAGAUAUCUUCUUCAUUUAGUGUAUCCAUGUUGGCUGUUGAUCUGUGGACCUCGAUACAUUACAUUUACAAAUUACAAUUACUACAAUUUAUAGGUUUGGGAGACCAAUCUCCUGAGACAACACUCCUAGUUACUAGAUCGCUAAGGGUUACAGCCAUAAUGAAGAGAGUCGAUGAGCCUACCCAUCUCCUUCAUGUUUUUGUUUUUCUAUCUUUUAUCUCUUCCACAUUGUAACUCAGGGUAUUUCCCUUCAUUUUUAUUAAUGUAAAACUUAACUUCUUGCAAAAAUAAAAUUGUCAUACAUGAAUGUUUAUAAUCAUGUAGUUUAAGCUAUAAUCACGACUAACAUUCCCUGAACAGAUAAAUUGUCGUCUUGAUUUAUGGUGCUCUAAAUUCUAAGUGUUCUUAUCUAAUGUUUACUUAUUUUAAAUUUAUUAUUUAUAUAUCUUAUGUAGAUCCCAUUAUUUUAUUAUUAUUAUUAUUAUUUUUUUUUUUUUUUUGAAGUAGAUCCCAUUAAUCCAUUAUUGUUAGUUGCAAGUUGCAACUGUUUUUCAACCUUGUUGAUUUCUUAUUUGAAUUGGUAAUGCUUUCGUAUUUUAAUCCUCUUUCUUUGGACAGGAGAAUCAUAAUUUGGAUGAUAAAAAAAAGGCUGCCAUGGCAUCCGUUAAGAAAAGAUCACUCAUACCUAGGCUAUUGUAUCUCUCAAUCCAGGCUGCUUCAUGUUCACCCAGGAUAGCAUCUCCUUCAACUGCUUCAAAUAAUAUUGAAAUUAGUUCUGAGUUUAAGCUUCUCUUGGAAAAUUAUUCAGUAAUCUUGGGUUGUUCUUUUGAUGAAGCAGUAUCAUCUAUCACAAACAUCAGUUACUCAGAAGAUUGCAGUUCUCUUAAGGUUUUUCUUAUUAUUAUUUCCCAUUUCUUUCUGUUAACAACUUAACAUGUAGCUAAAAUUCGAGCGAGUGAGAGAGAGCCAGCCCCCGAGCGAGCGAUCAGGGCUAGGGAUCCUGAUCGCGAGUCCUGUUCGCGAAUAGAGAAAGGGGGGAGUUUCUCGCGGCUAGGGCACCUACGUGCCUGCCGGUCUGGGAGUUGCAUCUUUUGGCCGCUGGUCUGUUUUGCUCGCGGCUAGGAGGAGAAAUCCAUCUCCUUACGAAACAGUGACUCCUUUUCACCCCCGGUAAGGCAGAGCACCAUGUGCUGGUUUCAAAACCUCUGAUCUUCCACUACACAAUUUAAGUGAAACUGUUGGGUGAUUUUUCCCGGAGAAAGAUGGGAAAGACCACACCAAAAGAACGAUAAGAGGCCAAAGCGCCCACCCGGGUUUUUUCAUCACCCACCAGUUUCAGAAGUUCUUGUGUAGUGUUGAAUCAGUCACUUUGGAGCCAUGUGUGAUGCUUCUUUCUUACAUGGAGACCUUCAGGAGUUUUCUGUGCAGCACUCUCCGUUUUUAGGUUAGUGAGAGCCACCACACACAGAGAGAGCAGCAAGGAGAGUUUCAAAAAAAAAAAAUGAGCGAAGCAGUCUGGAGACAUUUUCAGAGCGAAGACCUCAGCAAUAAGCACAAGGUGGAGAAACAAGGGAGGGAUGAAGGUACGAAUUUUCAAAAGGAAAGAGAACAAUUCUAGAGGGAUUUCUAUCAAAGGCAUAGCAACCAAAAAGUCACGGGCAGGAGGAAGGAAAGAACUAUGGACACACUUAGCAAUGGAAUUAUCCACAAAUGGAAGAAGGAGACCUCAGACUCAUUUUAUCAACUGCGUCGACUACAAUUUGCACCCCCUCUGAUUAGAAAUGGUACCCAAUAUGCAUAUGUUCACAGAGCUGAUUUGGAACUGCCCAAAUAUGGAGAAAUUCUUAAGCUCACCAUUAGAGCCUUUGGAAAGACCCCCACGAUGAAAGCUAUCUUAUGCCUAGCAAAGAACAAAUGGGAUGUGAAAGGAAAAAUACAAAUCGCAAAAUACCCAAACGCCACUUUCAACAUGGCCUUUCAACUAGGAGAGGACUAUCUAAAAAUCUCAGAAAGAGUGUGGGAAUCCCUCGGAGAUACUAUUCUGAUGGUGAGAAAGGAACCACCGGAACUGGUGGCCAAGGAGUCCUACGAUUGGCUUCCACAAUGGGCAUACAUAAGCAACAUCAGACCAGAGAUGCUCUCAAAGACAGUAAUAGACUCAAUAGUAAGUGUUCUAGGCCCACCCAUUGGGGCUGAGUUCAUAGACACCCCCCGGCAUCCUCACAGCCUCAAAGUAGUUUAUCAGGCAGAACCGGUUGGAAACUACAAAUCUCGCAUCCCGGUUAUCAUAAAUGAAGGGGAUGGAAAGGAAUUGGUUUUAGAACUCAAAGUGCACUACGACUCCAUCCCCUUAAGAUGUUGCAAGUGUAUGAAAUUUGGCCACCCAACAGCCCAAUGCAAAAGCAUCCUUCCACCACCACCCCAUCUGAUGAAAACCCAUCAGGUUAUUCCAGCAAUAAUAAAUCAGGAAAAGGAACCGAUGACCCAAACAAUAGCAACAAAACAGGCCAGGAAAGACCCACCAAGCAAAGAAAGGCAUGUGGCAGAAAUAGUCAAAGCGUGGCCUCCUAAAAAAGACUCUCUGGGAGGAAAAGAAGGAAGCAUGGAAGAAGACCAGCAACAAAUCUCCAAGACAGUUAUCUUAUAUGAGAUGGACAGGACUGAAAAAGAUACACGGUCGCUUUUUACAGAGAUAUCCCAGACUGAAAAGGAAGAUAGAGAGGAGGAAGUAAUAUCCCACACCUUGGCAAUAUCCUCUACUAACAGCAACCCACACAAGACAAAAAAACAAACUACUCUCACAUUAUGCUAUAACCGGUGGUCCUUGCUCACAGAUAGGCAGGAGGAGUACGAUCCAGAUAGCAGCUCACACUCAGACAAGCCACAGGAGAAAAGCGACAAGUCUAAGGAGCAUAGUUGGGAGGACAUCAAUGGGCUUUCUUCAAACGAUUCUGAUUUCUCUGUGGUCCAACAGCAGGUAAAUUAUUUCCAUAAAAUAGUUGAAGAAGGAGGGAGAGUUUCAAACAGCCAAGACAUGCCAAAGGAUGGGUCCAAAAAUAAGUUACAAAAUAAAAAUAUANNNNNNNNNNNNNNNNNNNNNNNNNNNNNNNNNNNNNNNNNNNNNNNNNNNNNNNNNNNNNNNNNNNNNNNNNNNNNNNNNNNNNNNNNNNNNNNNNNNNNNNNNNNNNNNNNNNNNNNNNNNNNNNNNNNNNNNNNNNNNNNNNNNNNNNNNNNNNNNNNNNNNNNNNNNNNNNNNNNNNNNNNNNNNNNNNNNNNNNNNNNNNNNNNNNNNNNNNNNNNNNNNNNNNNNNNNNNNNNNNNNNNNNNNNNNNNNNNNNNNNNNNNNNNNNNNNNNNNNNNNNNNNNNNNNNNNNNNNNNNNNNNNNNNNNNNNNNNNNNNNNNNNNNNNNNNNNNNNNNNNNNNNNNACCUCAAAUACUCCAUCCUACUAUAAAAGGCAGAAGAAGCGGGGCAAAAAAUACUCUAGAAAAACCACCAAGCAAACAAGCAAAGAUGGGAAGAGGAAAGUUAGGAGAGCACUCCCUUGUGUCUCCCUAAGAUCCACUCAUAACCCAUGUUGGAUCAGUCAUGCAACUAAAAUCAGGAAAAACAGAACAGAGAGAAGGAAAAAUAGAAUGAUAGUUAGAGGUUGGUCCCAAGGCCAUCUAAAAGGUGCGGACAGAUCCGCACUGGGGAACCAGUAAUCACCCAAAUUACCCUGUAAGUUAGGAAAGCCAACCCCUAAUGGCUUUCCUAAUUUGGAAUGUUAGGAGAUUUAAUCCGGAUGAAAUGCAUGCAGAGGUUAAGAAUCUAGUGAAGCUUAAGGAAAUUGAAAUAAUAAGAGUGGUUGAAACAAAAAUAAAGGCACAUAAGGUGCAGGCAAUUAAGGAUGCUUUUGGUCCAGAUUGGAACUCCCAUAACAAUGGAGACCCCAACCAGCCACUGCGUGCUGACUCAAUUUGGACUUUCUGGAGGAAGGACAAAUGGUCAAUAGAUAUUCUAAACACUCACCAACAAUUUACGCAUCUUAGACUUAAAAACACCCUAGGGCUAGAAAUCCUAUAUACACCAGUCUAUGGGAAAAACACUAGAGAGGAAAAGAGACAACUAUGGGAUGGGAUUCAACAAAUAGGGCCCAUAAACAAUACACCUUGGCUAGUGGGUGGGGAUUUCAAUGAGAUCAGGUCUCCAUAGGAGAGAAUAGGACCAAGGAUAUACUCCCAUGGAGGGCCAUCAGAUUUCAUUAAUGCCACAAAUAUGGCUCAAUUAUUUGAGCUGCCAUCUAUAGGGGGGGGACUACACAUGGACAAACGACUCCUCUGGCCCAAAUUUCAUACAAUCCAAAUUGGACAGAGCUUUUACAAACCAACUAUGGAUGAACACAUGGCCUGAAGUCAGAAUAGAUUUCCACAACGGUUCUAGUGACCACAAGGCAAUGAUCAUCAUCCUAUCUCAGGUAGAGAAAGGUGCUAAACCUUUUAGACUAUAUAACUCUUGGUUGGAAGACGAGACCUUCUGCGAGAUAGUGAAAGAAGGACUAAGGAAAAAUACUAGAGGAACAGGGCUAUUUAGACUUCAACAUAGGCUAAAGGAAGCAAAAAUCAGAAUCAAACAAUGGGCAGCAACUAAAGGUCACUCUGCAAAACUAGUGCAGGAGAUCAAGGAAAAAUUAGAUAUUACCUCCACAGCUCUGGAGAAAGACCCAAGCUCAGUCCAUCUACAAUCCAAAAGUGUGGAACUGAGAAAGGAGCUCAAGAACCUAUUCCUUAGGGAAGAAACUGACCUUAAGCAAAGGAGCAAAGUCUCCUAGCUUAAGGAAGGAGAUAAAAAUACCAGGUUUUUCAGCAUAGUCACAAAACAAAGAAAAGCAAAAAACUCCACACUUAAAAUGCUAAACAAAGAAGGGAACCAAAAUAUCACAAGAUCCCAACUGGAAAACAAUAGCAUGACCUAUUUCUAAAGCUUGUUCAAAAGAGGAGACUCUCCCCAUCGAGAAAUCCCAACUAUCUUCCCAAGGAUAGUGUCUGCAGAUAUGAAUGAGUGGUUGAUACAAGUACCCCUAGAGGAGGAGAUCAGGGAAGUCCUAUUUUCCUUUAAUACAAACAAGUCUCCGGGCCCAGAUGGUUUCACUUCGGAAUUCUUUAAAAAAAUUUGGGCGGAACUGAAAGGAAAUAUAAUGGACUAUGUGUACCAAUUUUUCAAAGGAAAACCUCUCUUAAGGGCCACAAACUACACUUUCCUAACUCGCAUUCCAAAAACAAACACUGCAUCUGAAAUGGGGGAUUUUAGGCCCAUAUCAUGUGUAAAUCUUAUUUAUAAGCUUAUGACCAAGGCCCUAACGAACAGAAUAAAUAUGGUUUUGCCAUAGCUCAUAUCACCAAACCAAACAGCCUUCAUAAAUGGCAGACUAAUAUCAGACAACACCCUACUGGCAGAUGAAAUGCUCUAUGGAUAUGGUAGGAAAAGAACCCCUAAAAGGUGUUGUCUAAGUGUUGACCUCAGAAAAGCUUUUGAUACUAUAAAAUGGGAGGCAAUAAUUGACAUACUAAAAGCAUAUGGCUUCUCCCCCUCCCUAUGCAAAAUAGUGUGGAAUUGUAUAUCAACGGCAUCUUUUUCAGUUCUAGUAGAAGGGACUCCAACUCCCCCUUUCAAGAACUAAAGAGGGAUAAGACAAGGGGAUCCCCUAUCCCCAAUCCUCUUUGACAUAGUUAUGGAUGUGCUGAGUAGGUUAAUUGAAAGAGAGGUAGAGGCGAAAAAGAUGGAUGUGCUGAGUAGGUUAAUUGAAAAAGAGGUUAAUGGAGCAACCUCCAUAUCUCACCUAAUUUAUGCAGAUGAUGUCCUGAUUUUCUCUAAGGCAAACAUUAAGUCUCUGAAUACAAUUAAGAAAAUCCUGGAAAAGUUCUCAUCCUUCUCUGGGAUAGAGGUUAAUGCUUCAAAAAGCUCAAUGACGCUAUCAAAAGUUUGUGAGAAUGACCAGUCACUCCAAAACAUCCUAGGUUUUUUUAUCAAAGUACUCCCACUCACAUACCUAGGACUUCCAAUAACAGGAAAAAAGAAAUCCUAUAACCAAUGUUGGAAGCUGAUCCAACCCAUUGAGGCAAUGCUGGCAAAAUGGAAGGGGAAGUGCCUCUCUUAUGGGGGAAGAAUUCAGUUAGUAAAUUGGAUUCUGGCUGGGAAAUAUACAUACUGGGCACAAGGCACAGCACUACCAGAAUCAGUAACUAGCAAAAUAAGGAAAUUAGCCUAUAAUUUCAUAUGGGAUGGGAGAAAGGGAAUCCCAUGGAAGCAGAUGAUUCUCCCCAAAGCAGAGGGAGGCUUAGGGGUUAGUUAGAAACCUAGGAAUCAUAAUACCCGCCAUAAAUAUCAAAAGAAUUGCAAACUUCUGGACAUAAUCAGACUCAAUUUUUAAUACAUGGAUCCAAGAGAGAUACAUAAAAGAAAGAGCCCUUACAAACAUCCUUGUAAGGACCACCAUAGACCCCCAUUUUUGGAAAUAUGUAAUGGCAGACAACCCCAAAGCCAUUGCACUAGUUGAAUGUAGGGCCAAUUAUACAACCCUCUGGAAAAAUGGAAACCCAAUCAGGAAACUUGCAGCAAUGUGUGAGGAGAUCAGGGAUAAAAUCCAUAAGGAUAGCCUAGCAGAAGGAAUAUAGGCCCAUAAACCCACAAAUUUUUCCAUAUUUCUAUGGAGGAUAAAGUGGGCACACCUAAACACCUUUAUCAAAUUAAAUGGAUGGGGUAUGCCAAUCCAGCCCAUAUGUUUAUUAUGCAAUAUGGAGAAUGAAUCCAGAGCCCACCUAUUUUUCAAUUGUCCCUACUCUAGAGCCAUCCUCCUUCCCCUGGUUAAAAACUUAAAUAACAUUUUCUGGAAGAUACUAAAAAUACCCACUCCCACCACCACUCACCCAGACAUUAGAAUAGGGGACCUAACUGAGGCAUGUCAAAGGCUGUCACAUCACUCUCCAAUUUGGGCACUACUUUGGAACAUGAUUGAAUCCUUAUGUUGGCACAUAUGGGCAGAAAGAAAUCGUAGAUGGAAACAGCAUACUCUCAGACCACCAGAAACAGUGUUAAAGGAGGUAAUCAAGGACAUCAGCUUAUCCUUCAAGCCUGAGUGCUUCAAGAAAAGUUGUUGUCAUCUUUUGGAGACUAGCACAAUGCAGAUAUGGGAGACCAACCUCCGGAGUCAGAUAGUCUAGAGUCUUUCUCUAGGCAGCAUGGCUGUGUAGAAAGUGUCACAAUAUCCAUAUUUAUAUUUUAUGUUUAUUUCCAUUGUAUUUUUCAGGGCAUUGCCCCUCAUUUUUCAUUAAAUAAAAACAUUUAACAGCUUCAAAAAAAAAUGUAGCUAAAAUCCCAUCAUUAAUUCACAAUAUUAAUAUUUUUAGGAAAAAAUCCUAAUUCUUUUAGAUAAUCAUGUUUUCUGCUGAAAGUUAACUCUAAAAAAAUCUUCCUUUCUGCAAUGAAACAGUGAACAGAUGACAGAUUUUGUGAGAUCCUUAUUUUUGACGAAGUUAAAGUCUAUUAGAAUUGAAAUAAAACAGGAAAAUACAUAGUAAAGUAAAGAUAAAAUAGAUAACUAGCGUGAGAAAUGGGGCAAGCCCAUUGACUCUAAUUCUAUAUAGAAGUUUGCCACGGAAGUGAAGCCUCCCAUAAAUUUAAACACUAUUUCCAUUUUCCACUGCUGUGCUGUCCUUGUAGAAUUCUUUCUUGAAGGAUAGGCUUGACCGCUUAGGUCCUUUAUAAUUUCUUUUAAGAACACUUCUGGUGGCUUCAGAUUGUGGUUUUUGAGUCUUCUAUUCCUUUCUGCCCAUAUGUGCCAUGUUGGGAUGUCAAUGAUGUUCCAAUGCAGCGCCCAGCAUGGUGCUUGCUGAUUAGAACUUAUGGAUCUAGCAGAAUAAUGGAGAAAUGAACCUUUUAAAUGUGGUUCGGUUCUUUAAAAAACAACUCCACAGGGUGGUGUAUACACUGGUGAUAUGAAAUUAUGAAUUACAAUAGAAUAGUUACAUUGACUCACCAUAUUUUAUAGUUAGGUUAUAUUGAGUGGAUCCCAGUUCAUCCACACUAUCAUGUGUGAUGUGACUCACACGUCAUGACAUGACAUGGAUGGAUAAAUCUGUGCACACAUAACAGACACUAUAUACUCCACUUAUAACUCCCAACAAUAACAAAUAUAGCCAUAAUUUUUUAAAACCUCAAAUAAACAUGUACUUUCUUUCAAAAAUGAGAAUGACUAGCUUGCUGCCCUAAUCAGUUGUUUUGUUGGGGGUUUAUGAAGGAGUGACGAUUAGGAUUUAACUUUUUUAUACCAACAGACUCAAAAGUUGCUCCUUUAAAAAAAUAUUGCAUAUAAAUAAAUGCUUACAACACAAAAAUAUUUUUUUUCAAGCAUUUUACACCAGAGUUUUGUAUUAAUGAGUUGUUUUCUUCAAUUUUAUUUUACUAUAUUGUUUUAUUUCCAGUUAGUGAGUAGAGAACCACCGUUGUGAUAGUUAUUGUGAUUUUCCUUCUUGAACAUCGGCAGGUUUUUGGCUCAGACAUGGUUUACUGGAUGAACUUUGCCAUAUUUUUCUUUGCUUGGAAUAUAUAUCUAAGGGGUGCUGGGAUUGUAUCGGAUGAAGAUAUAUCUUGCACUUUCAAUAUUGUUGAUAACCUUCUAAAGAACUGCAUUAAAAAGCAGCUGUCCUCUGCACAGCCUUUGCUAGCAUCUCCUGGAAGCAACCUGCCAUUAUUAACACAAGUAAUAUCUGAAUCCUUUUCUUGGUACCUGUUGAUCAUCCAAUCUCAUUUUAGAUCAAUAACAAUUCCAAUUGGAAAAAAGAAAAAGAAAAAUGGCCAAAUGAAUCAGGAGCUUUCACUGUUAUCAAAAAUUAUUCAAUGUACCAUUCCCUCCCUUAAAUGUGUUAUAUUAGAUAUAAAAUCAUGGGCUCAAGAACAAAUAAACCGACCAGUUGAUCAGAGUUUGGAUUUUAUUGUAUGCCGAUUACAUGAAGAAGGUGAAGAGGAUGGCCCAGGCAAGGUCCUUCGGAUUCUGGAACAAAGUUUGCAUAUAUCAAAAUCUGAAAUUGGUGAUUUAACAGAAAAGGCCUUGGAAUCAUGGAACAGCAUUGAUGUGGCAACGAAAUUCAUUGAUGGGCAGCGAAUUGUGCUCUUUGAGUUAAGUAAUAUCUGCGAGUCAAAAUUGAAGCUACUUGAUUCAAUGAAAUUCUCAAGUUAGUAUCAUCAUGUUUUUUAAAAUAUAUUUUUUGAGAGCUUUUAGAGAUUUAUGAUAUGAGCCUAUUAUGGCAAUUUCCUAAGGAUUUGAUUUUUGAUACUUGAAUUUUUUAUUCAAUACAUAUGUAAAAUUUGGCAGCACUAGUUUUGCAGAUGAAAUGAGCUUAGGAUUGUUAAGGUUCUCGAGAUCUCAUGAACAAGGAAUCUUACCAAAAAGAAAAAAAAAAUUAACUUAAUAGAGAUCUAUUUAUACGAUUAGAGAGGAGAUUAAUCCACUUUCUUUUUUUGAAAAAUUAAAACUUUUAUUACUGAAAAAUGAGGUUGAGCAUAGCCCAAGAUUACAUAAUAUAGAGAAAUACAAGUACAGCAAAUGUAAAAACAUUGUCUAUUUUUUAUAUAGCUAUGGUCCUGACUAUCUCUCAAGAGGUUGGACUCUCAUGAGUGUAUAGUUUGUAUUUCAAUCUGUGAAAGAUUGUGUUUCUUAUAGGAGGAUGUAGAUGAACCCACUUUCUUUAAAGCAAACAACGUCUUCUUUGGGAAUGAAUUAAUAAAAACAGAAGUAAAUCUUUUCAAGGCAAAAACAAUUUCUUCUUAUCUGAUGUCACUGCUAGUCUGAUACAGCCUUACUAUCUAAUCAGUAACCAUGUUAUUAUUGUCUUGGGGAUUAACAAAAACUAGGAUUUGGUAAACUAGAACAUAUCCCUCAAGUCAGAAGAAAGAAGGAAGAUACUACAGAUUUGAUUGAGUUAAAAGAUUAGUUUCAGGUGAGAUAUAAAAAUGAGAUAUCUUGUAAGAUAAUUGAUAUCGGUCAUCUGUUUUUUUUAAGAUAUGAUAAAAUGAGAUGUAGUAUGCAAAAAACAAAAAAAAACAAAAAUUCUAAAAAUGAUGGAUCUACCAAUAUCUCAUGAUGUUUUAUGAAUGGUGGUAGAUCUACCAAUAUCUCACGAGAUAUUUAUGUUUUCUUCGAGAUGUGAUAUUGGUCUGGCAUCGAGAUGUGAUCAUUAAAAGAUAAAAAAUAAUAAUUGUAGGAUGUCAUAUUAAUGAUAGAUCUAUUAAUAUUUUACGAGAUAUUUAUAUUUUUUUUCGAGUUGUAAUAUCUCGGACAUAAAAACUAAUAACCGUUGAAUGAUAGUGGAUCUAUCAAUAUCUAUUUUAUUUUGAGUAUCUCAUGGGUACCGUUCCCUGAGUUUAUAAUCUUGAAAAUAAGAUACAAUGUUUGUAAUUUUUUUAAUGGUUUUAUUAGGAUUUUGUUGCGUUUAGGUAUAACGAACGAUCAAUAUGGUGCAAUCAUAAUACGCGGGCUACUAAUUGAAUUCGAGUAAUCUACAUCACACAUGCAUAUCAAUUAGAUCAUUUAGAAUUCAACCUUUUUUAAAGUCGUUGCAACGACAACACGGUUCAUGCUUCGCACGACAUAUGUAAAGACUCGAAUGUAUUUAUUAUUUAUUAAUUUAUGUACAUGUUUUCAAAUGCGUAGUAAAACAGAGUAUCUUGGCUUCAUAUUGACUACUGAGAAGUGAAUUCAAACAAAGAUCAUCAGGGAAACAGAAACUUGCCAAAUCAUAUUAUUGAAUAUUAUUCUUGGCGCAUUACAAACACAACCAAAUCAAAAUCAGCAAGUUAAGUUUUUUUUUAUAUCUAUAACAAAGAGUUCUUCCUCAAUAACUAUAAAUAUAGCAACAUACAUCAUAUAUUUCGAUCAAAAUGUAAUGAAGAGAUGAAAAGGUAAUUUAAAACCUCAAGUAACCAACCAAAGUAAUUAGAGUUGAAACAAAGCAUAAGAUUAAGCAGCCAUACCAAACAAAUAACUAACCUCAUUAAUCAUUAUUAGUAAGGCGGUUGUCCAGUGUAAUAGUAUCCUCCAUAUAAAGGCUGCAUUCCAUAACCCAUCUGCAUUCCAUAAGGUGGUAUUUGUUGAGGUUGGCCUUGCAUUCCAUUCCUCUCAUACUGCUGCCACAUCAACUGUUCUUGAACAACAAGUUGUUGCUUCUUCUCUAUCUCAGCCAUUUGCACAUAUGAGGGAGCAGGCACUGACAGAGAUGCCAUGAAUGGAUCUUCAUUACCAAUGGUUUUCACAGUUCCGUCGGGUGCUGGAAGAGCUAGGACUUGGCUUUUACCACCCCCAGGAAGCGGUAACGCAACACUACUUGAACUUCCUCCAUCGUUUUUGGACGCCACAUGUUGUCUCACUGCACCUUGUUCAUACAUUCCAUCCAGAAGAAGAUUGUCGAACCCACCUGCCAUUAACGCUUUCUGUUUCUCAAGGUUACCUGCUGUUUCAACAAGGGCAAGUUCCCAAUCUGCUUUCCCAGCUUCUGCUGCUGGAUUCUGCCAAGCAGACGUGACCUCAGACUCUGCUGGUUGAUCAGAUGGGAAUGCCUCCCAAGCACCAUUGGUAAUUGCAGUAGAUUUUCCGGUUGUUGAAGCACCAGUGCCAGAAAAAAGACUCAAUGCAAGCUUGUUCCCCUGCUCAUCAGCUGUCAUGGUAUCCUCUCGAAGAUCAACAAGAGGUGGUGUUGGAGCUGCUGGUGACUUCUUCACUUGUACCGUAGUCUGAACUUCCGGAAACUUGGGCUCAAAAUCUUCAGGAGCAGGGAGUGCUUUAAUAUCACCCAUAUCUGUCAAUGUUGCUUCGUCUUCCUCCUCAUCGACCACCACCUCAUCCUUAAUCUCAGUUUUAGGCUCUAUGUAAGGUGUCUUUGCAAUUCCGGCUUUAUCCCUCAUCAUCUCCUCCAAAGUGUCAAGUAGCCUAUCUGAAAUCCGUUUCACUUCUGGAUACUCCGAAGAUCUAGCUAUCCCGAUAUCUUUACACCAACCAUAAAACCCAAGAAGUUCAUUGAUCUGCUUCGCAGCAAUUGCGUAAGCAUCAAAAGCCUUCCUGGAAUUAUCAUAGUCCAAAUUCGGAAACUGAUCGGCUAAUACUGCCAGGACCUCACAAAUAUCUGCAUACAGUUGAAAAUUCUCUCUCACGAUUGGAUAGACCGCGACCAGAAUCAUUCUACUGUUCUUUGCUCGACCAACCGGUCUACAUGCGAGAAAACGAUCCAUCACUUUCUGUAACUGACGAAUCUUCUCCAAUACAGCUUCUAUCUUCAUUUCCCUAAUCGAAAUUUCAGGCUUCUUAUCCCUAUCAUCCCUUCUGCGAUCACGAUCCCUGGCCUCCCUACCAUAGUCUCCAUCUGAGUAAUAUGAAGAACCUCUUUCCCUCUCAUAUGGAUCGUCUCUUCCACCAGUUCCUGAUUUUUGCUUCUGCUGAAACAACGCGCACUCCAAACUCUGAUCAAGAUAAAGCGCGUAAGCUUUAACGAAUGAGGAGUGAUCCCAAGACGCCGAAUGUGCUUCAUCCUUGAAAUCCGACAUAUUAAGAAUCCUGGUCCCUCGGCGUGUAGCGUAGAGGAUCUCCUCGUGAAAGCCUCGAUCUCCAUCGACGAGGAGACGAUGUACAAGUAUUAGGGUUUUGACGGCGAUGAUCCAAUCCCUGGUCUUGUUUAAUCUUCUCGACACCGCAGUGACGCAUGCCGAUAGAUUCGGACGAUUGAAGGUCGUCAGGGAUAUGAUCUCACGCAUAUACUUCUCGUUCGCCGGUUCGUCCUCAUGCGACGUUGCUUUAACGACGGCAACGUCUAGUUCUGGUGCGAUGGCGCUAGAUACCUUGGCGAUUGAGAUGCUCGUUUGAUCUUUCACUGCGCCUAAGGCUUUUCGGAUCGUGCUUCCGGCCAUCGGACAGAAAUUCAACGGCGAGACGAAACCGGGAACCGGAAGAAGAUUAGAUCUUCAAAGUAUUUGGUGGAGGAAAAAGAAGACCAGUGUGAUAGCGAAAUAAACAGUAAACGGAGAGAAGGUGGAGUUCAUAUAUAGUGAUAAUAUAUGUACGAAACUACCCUUGUUAUUAUUUUCCGACUGUCUUCAGUUUUAUUAAGGGUAAAAUUGGUGUUUUAAGUUUCCAUUUGCUUUCCUCAGUUCCUGAAAGAACCAGUCGUCGGUCGUGUGGUUAUUUUACUUUCUUUACCCUCUGAGUAUUUUUAAUUAAAUAUAAGUAUAAACAUUAUCUGUGAAUACUCUUAGAUCCUAUAUAAGGAAGCAUCUCCCAUGCCGUUCAUCCUCAAGACGGAUGACUGCGGACGAACUGCGAUGGGUCAUCAGAGUUCACAAAGUUAGGGUGAGGUACCGCGCCGGAGGUUCGUGGAGGUUCCGGUCGCCGAAUUGGAACCACGAUUCGAACUGGAAUCGAAUUUGACGGAACCAUGUUAGUUUCAGGUGACCACGGACAUUCACUAGCUUCAACUGCGGACGUUCAUAGGUGAAGCUGGCUGUAAAAAUAUAAAUACAGCGAGUUUCAGAUGCGACUCAUCAUUUCAGAUUGGACUACCUCACUGCGAUCCGGUACCUCACAAGAGGAACGACUUAUUCCGAUCUGGAAUACGGUCUGAAACGACGAAUCGGAACCCAUGCCUUAUGCACUAUCGGACGACGAUCGGAACCUCUGACGGCGAUUGGAACCUCUACACGAGCCCAACGAGCCAAGUUUGAAGCUUAAGCUCGGCUCGAUAAGCAAAAGUUCUCAACUAAGCAUGUAUAUCAGUCGAAUUCGGCUCGGAUACCCUGGUAUUUGAAUUCGAAUAAUAUCCGAAUAGAAAAAUCCGAAUCCGGAUAAUUUUUUAUAAAAACUUCAAAAAAAAUUAAAAUCAUUUUUAUUAAAGUUAAUUAAUAGUCAAAUAAUCAUUUUAAAAUUCAGAUAUUCGAAAGUAAAUUUAUAUUUAUUCAGAUAUAUAAAUAUUCGAAUCCGGAAUUAUCAACUGAAUUCGAAUUUUAACGACGAAUAUUGCAGAUAUCCGAAUUCGGAUAAUUUUCGGAUAUCAUCCGGAUAUCAUUUUUGGUAUCUGAAUCUAUCAUUUUUGGCAUCCGAAUCUGAAUAAUUUUCGAAUAUCAUUUUUGGUAUCCGAAUUCGGAUAAUUUCCGAAUAUCAUUUUUUUUGUAUCCAAAUCCAAAAAUCGAAAAUUGGAAUAAACAUAUUUGAAUUCGAAAACGUAUCUCAACACCUUAGCUAUAAAUAAAUUAGUUACAUAUUGGAAUUUCUUCAUUCCUUCAAUAUUGGAAUUUCUCCUCUAUAAAUGUCGAUAUGAGUUGUUUAAAUAAGAGGGGGUGAAACAAAGUUUACCCAUCAAUAAAACCCCAAUUGCUCAAUCCCUAAUUCUUCAUUUCUAUCCUCGGCUCCAGCAGUACGCAGAACUAAGCAGACAUUCUCCCGCUCCUUCCCCCGUCACCGGAAUCCUUCUUGAAGUCGGAAAUAGGUCCGUAACUCUUUCUGGUUCUGUUUUUUCGGUUCAGAUGUAUGUCGAUUUUCUUUCCGCCGUCAAUUUUGUUCUUUGAACCAGAGUUUAUUAAUUUCUUUUCUCUCCGUCACUUCGGUGCUUCGGGUUUUAACUUUUUUUGGAUUCGGUAAUUCGUAAAAAAUUAAAUUUUAUUUAUUGGAAUAUGAGGAUUUUUUAAGGUCAGUGUUUUAAUUUUUAAGAUUAUCUGAUUGUCUUUUAUCUCUUCUUCUCAGUCUAACUCUGAAUAGUUCAAUCUCGGUCGGUAUUUUCAUCUUCUCUUUAAAUUUUUUUCCGGUUUACCGCCUUUUGGACUUGUCUAAUUUCUCUUAUUUAUUUUUAGUUUGUUGUAAAUUCAAUUUUUUAUGGUAUUAUGAUAUUUCGAUAUUUAAACUUGUUCUGAUUUAUGAAAUGUGAAUUUGUAAUGUUAUUCAAUUUAAUUAUGCAAUGUAGUUUUUUGUUAAGGAGUAGUUUGGCGCCUUCCUUUGGUUAAAGUAAUGCAUUUUGAAAUUCGAAGAAUGCAGCCUUCUCAUGCUGUUCUACCUUCAUUUCGAAUAGAUUUAUUACUUAUCUGUACUGUGUGUAGGAAAACAUUCAAGUUGUCGUAAUUUCUCCCAAACGAAAUGUUAGAAAUGACUCAAAUGAGCCUGGUCCCUAAUCAAAGGGGAGGGGUUAGGGACCUCCACAUCAUAUCCAAGGUAGUUAGUAUUAAGAGAGCUGCGAAAAUUUGGAAAAAGAGUGGCUCCAUCCUAGUACAAUGAAUCUAGAAGAGAUACAUUAAGGAUUUAGGGAGAACUGAGAAGGCAGUCUUGGACAUCCAAAUGAAACCAUAGAAGCCAUAGUGAUCAGCUGGUAGAGGGAAUAUGGUCACACAUGACAUGCCAACCAAAUUCUAUAUCAUGUUAUGGAAGACCAAGUAGGACCACCUCAAUACCUUAAAAAAUUAAGUGAAUGGGCAGUCCAAAUCCUAACAACAUGCCUCCUUUGCAGACUCGUUUGUUAUUAGCAUAAUCUAUCUGUAAAUAAAAAUAGUUUAGCAUAGAGACAAAAUGUAAAUUCAAACAUCACCAUACUGUAGUGAUAUCAUAAGGUAUGAUCAACAUGGAUCGUUUGCUCUUUGAUAGGUUAUAUAUCAAAUCGAAACUUGCUAGAGGGAAUCAUAUGAUUUUUUCCUCCACCAAAAUUCAUCUACUGAAUUAUAUAUGUGGAAUUGUUAGGUGAAGAUUUAUUGAAUGGUACUAUGGUACCAUUUACCGAGACUCGGAAGAGACAUAGAACACACUAUUGAUAAUGACAUGAUUAUUUAUCAUUGUCAUUCUAUUCAGUUGGAGCAUUUCACGUGUUUCCACGGCACUAAAGGUUUCGAUGAGGUCUCAAUCCAACCUCACUAGUAUUUUAAGUGAGAAUUUCAUCCAAUGAUAAUAUACUAUAUUGAAUGGGUAAUUUACCUAAUCAUAUAUUAUAUAGAGUUUGUUUUGUAUGUCCCAUUGUCACCCAAACAUUUUACCCUUCAUCACUGUUUUGGCAAUAGAGUUGCAUAUUUAGCUUUAGCUCAUCAAGCAUUUCUGGCUCAGCAUGUUUAAGACAAGAAUUGUAGUGCAUGCUUAGGCGCAAGUGCAAGUGUGCAACUUUAGAAAGAGAUGUGUCAUGUGUAUUUCCUUAGGCUUAUAAACUUAUUUAAGUCAGAUCCAAGUGGAUCUUGGCCUGAAUCCACCUAAGGUUUAAAACUUUAAAUAUUUCAAAACCUAAAAUUUGCCCUGUCCAGUUGUGAUUUUUUGUUUGGCAAGUGGCACCCACCUCAUAUCCCUAAAUCCAAUGCCCGCGAGCCGCGACACUCCUAAUAUGGUUUGCCCUGGCGAGCCUUCUCUGAAAAAAUCUCUUUCCAUUAAAUCUUCUUGCUGUCUUCUUUUAUUUGCAGUAUUUAUUCUGUUUAAUAUCAAUUGAUAAUAUGCAUUAACUAUAAGAUGUAGUCAUGUACACAUAAAAAUAGGAAAUAUAAGCAAAAUAACUAUAAGGUGCAUCUAAGCGUGUCCGAGCACGCAAAAGCUCAAGUGUGCUGGUGGGUGUUGGUGCACAGUGCAUCCAGAAAUUUAAAACCUUAGUUUAAGAACAUGGUGUGUUUAUUUUUAUGAUAUUUGCCUAGUUGUUAUUUUCUAUUGUUUUUUAUUACUUUAAUUUAUUUGGAUUCUGAAUACUUAAUUUCUUAUACGUUCAAAUAAAAUAUUAAAUGUAAUAUGUGUACGUUGAGUUUUUAAAUUAAAUAGAAAUUGCUAGAGUUCAAUCUUAUUGAAUUUUAAUUGAAUAUUCUAUCAAAUAUUUUAGACGUUUUGAAUAUUCUGUUUUGUUAAAUUGCAGAUUAUUUUAGCGAUUGUCUUGAGAGGUUCUGAUACAGUUCUUGCAUCAUGGUAUGAUACUGUCAUUAAAAAAUAUAGGUUCUCUAUCACGUGAUUCGCUAUCACUAUAUCAUAUUUUUGUAGAUAUCAUUGAUAUUUUCUUUUACUGCAGUAUUUUGAAGGCUAUGGCUAUCGUGGAAACACUUUUGAACAAAACUAUCGCUGUUAUCCCGCAUCCUUUAUUGAAAAGGUUUGAUUGCAUUUGAUCAAAUAUUGGAAAUCUGAAAUUGUGGAAUAAUUUUUACACUCUUUUAAAUUUUAAUCUACUGUUUGGUUGAUUUAAUGACCAUACAUAGAUGUGAAUAUUAAUUAUUAUAAUAUAUGACGAUAAAUAUUGGAAAUAAUAGAUAUAGGAGCACAGACAAUUUUCACAUUUCUUCAAUGUAUCUCAAAUUUUACUUGUGGAUAUUUAUAUUUACCUUGUUUUUCUGCAGCCUCAAUUGGAAGCGGGUGAUAAAAGUAUGUGUUAUCAAUUCUUUUUUUUAGCAGUUGAGUUUUUAUUAAUAAAAAUGAAGGAUAUUGCCCUAGAAAUACAAUGGAAUUCAGCAAAUAAAAUAAAAACUUGGUUAUGAGCACUAGACCCAUAUUGCCUAAUAAGAAUUAGGUUGUCUGUCUCAGGAGGUUGGUCUCCCAUAAUCAAAGUUUUAAAAUAAAAGUGUGGGGAUUAUGCGGCCACAUAUUGGUAAUCAGUAUGUGACCGCACACAUUCAUGCCUUAUUUUUGUUUAUUUUUAAUUAGUAAAAAUCAUAUUAAAUAAGUAAAAAUACUUUUAAAAUGAGGGAAAAAAUAAAUUGUAUGAAUUACAUGAAUAAGUAUUAAGCAAUUUCAUAGAAAUAAGUACAAAUUAGGAAUAAAAAUUUCCAAUGGUCUAUUAUUUAUAUAGUUCUUGGACUUAGAAAUAAGUCUAAUAACUAGUUUGGUUUAUUGAAAUAUCGUUUGUUAGGCUUUUAUAAUAAAAAUCUGGUAUUUGAUUAGGCCUAAUUUUUUAUCGCAAUAAACAUCAAAAGACCUUGACAUCUAAUCGCACUAUGCGGUAUGUGGCCGCUUAUUGAAAACAUUGCCCAUGAUAUGUAUCGUGCUAGUCUCCAAGGGAUGACAUCAGCUCUUCUUGAAGCAUUCAGGCCUGAAGGAGAUGCUCAUGUCAUUAGUAACCGAUUUCAGAAAACAUAGACAUUUGGGUAUUUAGGUGAAUCCAUUUUAUUCUCCAUAGCAAAAUUAAAAAUUUUGUAGGUUUGUGUGCUCAUGUUCCUUCAGCUAAGUUAUCCUUAUGGUUUUUGUCUCUAAUUUCUUCACAAAUUGAUGCAAGUUUCCUAUUUGGGCUUCCAUUUCUCCAGAGGGUUGUGUAGUUUGAGCCACCUUCAACCAAUGCACUAGUUUUACUGUUUUAGUCCUAUCCCAUCACAUAUUUCCAGAAAUGGGAGUCUAUGGAAUUUUUUAUUUGUAUAUACAUAAGGGAUUUUCCUUUUACAUAUCUCUCUUGUAUCCAGCUAGAUAGAAUAGAGUCAGAUUUCUCCCAAAACUUGGCAAUUCUUUUGAUGUUUAUUGCUGGAAUUAUGACUUCUAAUUUUCUAACACCUAAUCCUCCCUCUGCUUUGGGGAGGAUCAUCUGCUUCCAUGUGAUCACCUUUCUCCCAUCCCAUAUGAAGGUAUAGGCUAAUUUUCUUAUACCUCUGCGGUUUUUGAAAGGGGGUGUGAGGGUACCCUCCACUAGCACUGAAAAUGAUACUGUUGUGAUACAGUUCCAUAUUAUUUUGCUUUUUUGCAUAGGCGAGGGGAGAAACCAUAAGCUUUUAUUGUGGAGAUUAUGGCUUUCCCACAGUCAUAUACUAUUUUCUCUGCUAGUAAGGGUUAUCAAUUCUUUGCUUUCUUCUUAUUGUGAUAUUUUGACCUGUUUAUUUGUUCGUGUUUCAGUCAUAAUGCCACCUUCUGCACUUGAUCGUCUCGGUAUGGAAGGCUUUAUUUCUUGUGUAUUUGUAUUUCACUAUUCUAUUUUUUUUUAAUCCAAGUUUGGCACACUAACUUUGCUGUUACUUUAAUUUCUAUGCAUGUUGUCUGUAGCAUCACUACACAUAGAUUAUCCUAUGUUGUUUGAACUCCGGAAUGCUGCUGUGGAGAGGGUUUCACACUGUGGUGUGCUUGAAUUCAUUGCUGAAGAAGGCAUGAUUUACAUGCCAUAUUGGGUAAAUUCUCAUUGGAAACAAAUUAUACCAUUUUUUAUAAUUGAUCCUUUGAUCUAAUUUCUGACACUCUGUCUGAUGCUGUUGUUUUGGUAGAUGAUGCAAAAUAUGCUGUUACAAGAGGGAGAUAUUGUCCAAGUGAAGAAUGCCACUCUUUUGAAGGGUACUUACGUAAAACUGCAGCCUCAUACUACAGAUUUUUUAGAUAUCUCCAACCCAAAGGCCAUGUAAGCAUUUUUUUACAUCAUAUUUUCAUGUCUUAAUUGUUAAUUUACUUGACAGGGCUGUCAUGCAAGCAUUUUUAUUAUCAUUCAACUGUGAUUCUGAUGUGCUGACUGUUUUACAUAAAAUGUUCUUUUGCAGUUUGGAAACAACUUUAAGAAACUUUUCUUGUUUGACAACGGGCGAUAGUAUCAUGGUUGCUUAUAACAAUAAGAAAUACUACAUAGAUAUUGUAGAAACAAAGCCUUCUGCUGCGAUAAGCAUCAUUGAAACAGAUUGUGAGGUUGAUUUUGCACCACCUCUUGACUAUAAGGAGCCAGAGAAGCCUGCAGUUUCAAUCCCUAUAAGCAAGGCUCCCGUACAAGGUCAACACAAACUUUGUACAGUGCUUGUUUUAAAUUUAAUAUCAUGUGUGAUUAAUGAGCUUGGCAGCUUGCAUAAAGUUUUAAAUUGAUUCAUCUUCUAAAAAAUGUUAUCUAUUACACAAUGAUCCUUAAAUACACAAGAUUCAUUAUUUUUCUUUUUAAAACCCUGUUUUCAAUGUGCUGAAACUUUUGAUGUUAUUGUUGGUUUAAUUGCAUUUUGACUUUCUUAAUAAUUUCAGCUGAAUCUGAUGCAGAACCUGAGAUGCCUAAAUUCAACCCUUUCACUGGAACUGGUAGACGGUUGGAUGGUAAACCCUUGAAACAACAGACGCCACCUUUGGUUUCUGCUGGCACCACAUCUAAUGAUCCCAAAUCGGAUUCUGCAAAUGGUAGUAAGAAUUCAAGUGGACCAGUUUCUUCACGCCAGACCUCGGGGAAGCUCAUUUUUGGUUCAAAUUCAAUUUCAAAAGACACCCAGAAGGUAUACUGCAUGUAACUAACUAGUCUUGUACCGUCGAAAUGGAUUUGUACAUUUUUCAGUAUGUCAAAAAAAAUUCAUAAUCUAUCUCAAUUUGCAAACCAUACUUUCUGUCAUGCCAAAUAUUUUAAUUGUUUUCUUGAUUCUUACUGAAAAGAAAACAUUAUAACAUACCCAACUGGGUAAUCGAUUAAAAAGGAUCCAUACAUAGAGUAACUGAGUAAGCAUGGUUCCUGAAAUAGCUUUUCAUUUAAAUUCUACAGGUUCCUGCCAAAGAAACAAAUGAUGCAUCUCCAAAGGAAGAAGAAUCAAAAUUCCAAGCAUUUUCAGGAAAGAAGUAUUCGUUAAAGGGUUGAUAUCUUGUAACUACCUGUAAUUUGGUUAUAAUAUAUUUUAAAUAUUCCAUGAGCAUCUUUACUGUUUCAACUCUGUUUUAUAAAUAUUUAUUUUUACAUGAUGAGAUAUGGUUCCUUUUCUAUAACCAACAAUCCAGAAGUGCCUGGAUAUAUUUAUCAUUGUGUAAUCAAAAUCUCUGGUUAGUCGUUUUGCUUUUAUUUGUCAUUUGAGAAUUUUCAAAAAAAAAACAGUAUCUAAUAAACAUGUUUUAUUUUGGUUUUACUCCCUUUGCUCUUUCAUUAAUUUAGUAAUAGUUUCUCAUCCUCCAUUUGUUCUUCGAUUGUGAAUAUUCUAGGGCAUUAUUGUUCAAAGUAGCCAAAUACCUAAAAUCAGGUCCUUUGAAAAACUCUCAGAAAUCUUAAUAAUUACUGUAACCAAAUGAAUCAAAUUUCUCAACGGUCUCAUCUACCUUUAAGAGAAGGAAUCAUAGGAUGAGUCAGUUGCUUUUUCGGCUGAUGACUUCUAUUGAGGUUUCGAACAAGCGUCAAAUACUCAAGUGGGGAAAUCAGCUUAAACUCCUCAGUUGUUUUGACUCUGUUUCGUUGAGACUUCUUUUUUUGAAAUCAAUCUGUCUAAAUGAAUAGAAGUAACCCUUUAUUUAUAGAACUUUUUAUGAAGGUAAUCUGGUCAUUUGAGUCAUAACCGUUUAACUGGUUAGAUCUGGUUUUAAGUCGACUUUCAAGGAUCAACUUUUCUAAAAGUUGACUUUGUCCAGGUCGAUUUUUCAGUUCGACGUCUUAAGGUCGGCUUCUAAAAAGUCAAUUUCUGAAAAAGUCGAUCUCUGAGAAAGUCGACCUGGGUAAAGUCAAUCUGUAAAAGUCAACAUUUCCAUAAUUUGAUUUGGAACAUCCCUUAAUCUAUAUGGGUAUCUUCAUUCAUUUUGGGUUAUCCGAAUCUUUAUUUCCUGAUGUUAUUAUGACCAAGUUUGAAAUAUUUUAUCACCAACUUUCUUAAAAAAUCGUGAACUCCACUUUUGAAGUUUGAAUCUCUUUCAAAAAUCAUAUUUUAUUAAAAGUUUAAACAAAUAUCGUUGUCAUGUGCCGUGAACGUUCGUUUUUAGAUGAACGGGUGGGAUUGAUCCUCUCUUUAUUAUUAAAAAUUGGUAUUAAAGUCCAUUCCACUUCUCUUAGUUCUCUACGUUAACAAAUAACAAUAACUAAUUACGUGUUAUGACUUAAUUUAAAUCUAUUUAAAAAAAAAAAUUAAUAUCCAGGAAAAAGAAGAAGGGCAAAAUGGUCAUGAUACCAAAACUACCAGUUACAACAUGAUACAGUUAAAAAGUCAAAUCAAUGUUCGAACUCCAAAUUCUGAAAGACAAAGAGGGGUAAAUUGGUAAAUAUGUACACACUUCUUUCUCACAUCAUCUUUUUUUUUCCUUCUCCCCUUCUUCAUUCAACGAUUCCAUUUUCCCAUUCCCUCAUUUCUUCCCAUCGACGACUCUCCGAUAUUAGGGUUUCGCCGCCGCCGUCUUUCAUCGUAACGGCCAAUCAAAUAAGAAAUUCCAACCCUCACUGCCGCGUAUACACACAGUUUUUUUCUGUUCGUCAAUCUGCUUAUCCGUGACUUGCCGUUAAUCAGUUAUUCGUUAAGGGUUCCGUUGCUGUUUUAUCGACGGCCGCUUCGGCGGUGUGGCUCAGCAUUGGGCGAAAACGUAAAAAGAAUUAAACAAAGAGAUUAGGGGUUUUUCAAAAUGUGCAUACUUUGUGUUCUCCAAGAAGUAUCGGUGAAGGCGAGAACAGUGCUACCUUGGUUAGUAAUAUUCCUUUCUGUUUUCUGGGCAAUUUCCCAACUUCUCCCACGACCAUUUCGUAUUGAUAUGACCAUGGCUCGAGUGAUUUGUUUUUUCUUCCUUCUCACUGUUGUUCUGUGGCAAAGAAUCCUACAACCUCAACUUCUUUUGUGGCAGACGCUCCGAGCUACCAGGUUACGGGAACAGAGGUGGAAUGAGGCCGUUGAGUUGCACAAGUUACGGAAGAUUGCAAUCCGUAGGUGUCGUAACUGUUUGAAUCCGUACCGAGACCAAAAUCCCGGAGCUGGGAAGUUCAUGUGUGUGUUCUGUGGACAUGUUUCUAAAAGACCGGUGUUGGAUAUUCCAGGUGUAAGAAGUAAGGGAAAAUCUUUGAACUGCACUCAUGGUUGGUCACCAGAGGUGCGGUAUUGGAAUGGUGCCAGAGGAACUGAUGAAAUCUCUAUUCCAGGGAGGUCAUAUUCAGGAACUGUGGUUGUUACAAGGAGAUUGGUUUGUGGGGUAUUUUUGAUAGUGAGGUGGGUUUUUAGGAAGGUUUUUGGAGUUAGGUCUUCUUCAAGGGAAGGUGACGAGUUAUCUGAUGGAGAGAGUAAAGAAAUGUUAAAAAAAGAGCAAGAUCAAGAGAGUAAGCUUCAUAAGUUGAAGAGAAAGGCUGAGGAGAAGCGGCAGGCGAGAUUGGAAAAGGAAAUAUUGGAGGAGGAGGAAAGGAAACAGAGGGAAGAUGUUGCGAGAUUGGUAGAGGAGAGGAGGAAGUUGAGAGAUGAGAAAUUGGUUCAGGAAAUGAAGGGGACGGUGGAGAAUAAGGAGAAUCCCAAGAGUUCAGAGAAGGUAGUGGUGAUGAAAAAGGAAUCUGAGAAGAAGAGAAGGGAUCGAAGAAGAGAGAAAGAUAAGUGUUCUAGUAAGAGCAAUUCUGAUGGGGAAGAUCUUGAGAGGAAGUAUGUUAAUAUGAAUAAUAAUAGAGAGAGUGAUAGAAAGAAAGAUUCUGAUAAAAAAAAUUACAGUGAGAAACGACAGUCGCAAAAAGUUUGCAUUGAGAAUAUUCGGAAUGAGAUAUUGGAAGGAACAGUUAGUUUGAGAACUAAUUUGAACAAUAGAAUGGCAGGUUCAUUUUCAUCCUCGUCCCGUGGGUUCAGUGGGUCGAUUUUUUUUGGCAAGGGCUCUUCAACAAGUCCCGCGGUGUCUGUUAAUAAAUCAAAUAAGUACACUACAUCACAUGCUGUUGAUAGGAGAGAUAAUAGUGCUUCUUCAACAUUUCAGCAGCAACUUGUAAGUUGUUUUCCCUGGCCCUGCGACUAUUAAUUUACAAAUCAUUACUAACAUCAUUAUCAAUAUUUUCCAGGAUGGUUCCAUUUUUCCGCCUCCGACCAAUGUUUGGAAGAAAUCAUGGCAACAAUUGUUCACAUGUUCGUCUUCGUCUUCAUUGUCUUCGCCAUCAUCAUCUGUUUACUCUGUUGGCAGUGCAAACAUCACGUGCAAUAACAACACGCAAUUGAAUGACCAUCAAACAUUGUCUAGUUUCCCUCCACUUAAUCACGGUAAUCAUGUGAAAUCAACGCAAACCAACAAUUCGCAUGGAUCCAUUUCAGAGGAGAUGGAACAUUUUGAAGACCCGUGUUAUGUUCCAGAUCCCAUCUCUCUACUUGGACCAGUAUCGGAGUCGCUUGAUAAUUUUCCAGUUGAUUUGAGGAGUGGGUUUGUUACAAAUGGCAAGAUAGACAAUCCUCAUGUACAAAGGAGUGCAAUAUCCAGCUCUUCUGAUUCUAAACCUUCUCCAAUUGAAUCGCCCAUGUCAAGAUUACGAUUUUCUAGAGAAAAACCUUCUCCAAUUGGACAAGUUUGUGGUUCUCCAAAAGCUCGUGAUUCCCAAACAUUGCGAUGUGAGGGUUUGAAUCAUUCAAAUGAAAUCGGUGCUACAUGGAAGAUGUGGGGUGAUUCACUGGGAGGUUUGGAUCCAUUAGGUAUAGUAGGUGGGUCUGUCAACCGAUUGCUACCGAUAGGUCCCAGCAAGUCGAAUCAUGAUAGUAAUCAUGCCUACUCUGGAUUGAAUAAUUAUCAUGGAAAUUACAAGAAGGAUGGUUUGUUUACUCCACUUGGCAGUAGUGGAUUCAAUGGGGACAUAUUGUGGUCAAAGAAAAAGGGUAUCGAUGAUACAAGAGAAGAAAAAUCAGUUCUGAAAGACACUUCAAAUACAUCGGUGGGUGGCCAUUCUUUUGAAAAAAAUCCAUCUGAUUGUUGGUCCAAGUAAGUUUCAAAUUCUAAUUUCUUUUGAUUUUUUUGUAUUUUGACUAUUAUGCAUACUAAAAAAUAUUACAUAUAUAUGCUUUAGAUGAGAGUCAUUAGUCAAGUAAAAUUACAAGGACGGUGGAAGGUGAAUCGAGAAGUUGUAUAAGAUAAGUCAAAUAAAGCAUAUUAUAGUCUUUCAAGCCUAAAUCAAACACAAUUUAACCUAUCCGGAUUUGGGAAUAUAAGAAAAUAAAAAUAUAUCUUCUGGAUUAAUUUAGAUCUAGCUUUGGAAAGGGGUGAUGAUUUAAACUUGGAACCUGAUCAUUUAGGAAAAAGGUUGAUUAAAAAUGAAACAGCGAAACACAAUUUAUGAAUUACCAUCUAGUGCAUAAUUGCAUGCAUGUAUGCUUAUUAGGAAUAUAAGAAAAUAUAAAAUGAUAUAAUAAUUUUGUAUAGAAUUACUUAGAAGUUAGAAUAUAUUUUGACAUAUCGUGGUUGUGUAACUGGGUUAAGUAGAAACCACCAUUAUAUGUAACUUUAAUAAAUUUGUGCCAUUCUUUGUUCAUCUCUUUGGUGUGGUGACGUUUGGUAUAAAUUUUCAUUGGUUUACUUCUAAGAAUGUCGACUUUAACUUUAUCAGGAAAAAUAAAAAAUAUGUAUUUCUAGUUUAAUUUACAUGAAAUUUCUUUCAUAUUGUUUUCUUGUUUGCAGUUAAACGUUCAUAGCUUAAGAAUCUAAUAAGAACAUGUGAUUUCCAGGUCGGAUUGGGAUGGCGUAUCGAGUUCCGAGGUUGUCGGAAUUUCUGACACAUCAUCUAGGACAAAUCAGGGAGGUCUGUUUUCUUCUGACCCAGAUAUACAAUCAGUUUGGUCAUUCAAAAUUUCAAAUAAAAUAAACAACACAAUGUAACCAAAUAAGAAGAGAAAAAACAUCACGUUCUUUAUAAAAAGGAUGAUGAUGUUGCUAGAGGAAAGUGGUUGCAUUUUUUUUACUUAAUGAAAUAAUAUUUUCUAUGAUAUCUUUAUAUAAUUAUGUUCAUCAGAUCAUUCAGAUGCCUCUUUUUAGUAGGGUUGCAUGACAAGCCAAGCUGAGCCCCAUAUGUUGUUUGUGUUCGGCUCAUUUAGUAAACGAGCUCAUAUUAAAAGCUUAAACUUGGUUUGUUCAUCUAAUUGAACUUUUCAAGCUUGAUUCAUUUAGCAAGCACAAUAAAAAAUAUCCAACUUAGUUAUUAAUUAUUAUCUACGUCAGAUUUUUAUUGCAUGUUCUUAAUCAUGUGAUUGAGAAUAAGAUUAGGUUAUUUAGGUAUGAGUGUAAUCAUCUUAAAUAUAUUUAAAAGUUUAGUAUUGAAAACAACUUACAGAAUCAUAAAAGAGAUAUUCUCUUUCAAAAAAGAAUCUGUACCACAAAUACCAUAAAAAGUUAGUCAAGAAUAUUCAAUUACUUAUUUGAUUAUUGAUAUGGCUUAGGAUUAGGUAAGAAUUUUUUCAUAUGAUUCGGUGUAGGGGUGAGAAUGGGGCAGGUCGCCUCGAUCCCACCUCAUUUUGCGUAAUUAAUUUAUUAUUGUUAUUGUUAUUAAUUAGUAAUUAAUAGUUAAUAGUUAAAUACUUAAAUUAGACACUUAAGUGACUUAACUAGUUGACUAAUGACUAUUUAAGACUUAAACUCCUAAAUUUUAGAUUUAAAAUCUUUUUGUUUUAUUAAUUUUUUGCACUGCAGGGUCGAGGCAGGACCGCCCCGGUCGGGACUUGCCCUGUUCUCAACCCUAGUUCAGUGCAAACUUUGCAUUGGAUGAUCACUUCCAAAAUAUUCUUACCAUAUAACGUAUAUCCUAAAUGGUUUGGAUGAAUAUUCCACGAUGGAGUCAUUGCACAUAUAAGGUGCAACCACUUUAUAAAUGUAUUUAUUGAAUUCACCAAUUGUAUAUUACAAUAGGCAGGCCAUUCUUGUUAAAACUCCAAAUACUUAAAUAAUGUAGAUUUGAAUGGCCAUAGUUCACAAUGCAGUAUCACAUUUAAAAAUUAAACUAAUACCCUCAACACCCUUUUUUCCGUCACUUUGGACUUAUAUAUCUACUACAUCCAUACCUAUCACUUGAGCAUAUAUGAUCAUGUUAGUAUUAUUAUUAUUAGCAUUAUUCCUAUGCUUUCUAGGGGUUAUGCUUGGGCUUCAUUGCAUUAUUCAAUGCAUCUGCAACUUGUGUUGGAUCGUCGAUUCAUCUAAUUCGACUGGAUUGAGCUCCGAUGAGGUUAAUAGAAUUCCAGUGUUGGUCUACUCUGGAGGAGGAGGAGGAGGAUCAAAGGGUGGUGGUUUAGGGAAGGAGUGUUGUAUUUGUUUGAUGGAAUUUGGUUGUGGUGAUAUUUUGAGGGUUUUGCCUUUGUGUAAUCAUGGGUUUCAUGUUAAGUGCAUUGAUACUUGGCUGUUUCAACAUGAUACCUGUCCUACGUGUCGAUUUCUUAUUUGCCGUCCUAAAACAUAGUGUUAUUUGUUCUUCCUAAUUUUUCAUUAAUUUGCCAAAUACCUAGAUAGAUAGAGAUGGAAUUUAAUCUGUGUUUUAGGACAAUUUAAUCUCACUUAUAAUACAUUUAAGGACAUAUAUCUUUCAUCUUUUAAUUUCAAAAAUUUACCCUUCUGAGUAUCCGAAAGUCAAUUUAUAUAUAUUCGGAUAUCCGUAUUCGAAAUUUUCAAUCGAUUUCGAAUUUUAACGUCGGAUUUUUCGGAUAUCCAAAUUCGUUCGGAUAAAAUCAGAAUAUCAAUUUAAGUAUCCGAAUACGGAUUUAAUAUGGUCGGACCUCCGGGCAUCUCUUGUUAAUAGAGUUAGUGAAUGUUAAUUUAAUAAAGCACUUAGGCAUUAGAUUUAUAGAUAAGCUCUUUGAUUACGAUUAUUACAGACUUAGUUAAUUAGUUACAUAGUAUUCAGGUAAGUGGAAAAUCAUGUAAUUUUCACAUGAGUUGCUUUAUUUUAUUAUUUAUAUUCGUUUGGGUUUAUAAAGUUAUAAGUACCACCGACACCGACCACUCCAGCCGACGACUUUAAUUACAAUUCCGGUUCUCGCCGCCGUAACACACAGACUUCGCCACUAUAUCCCUUUUCUUCUCCGAAGAAGAAUCCAAAUCCGAAGUCUCUGAAUCCAACACCGUAAGAAAAUCUCUAGGAGCGUCAUCGCGUAGAUCCAGAUCCGCAAACUCUAUCUCAAUUUUGUUAAAACUUAUCUCGUGAUUUCGAAGAUGAAUCCAUCCACUUGCCGAUCUGAACCCUAGGUGCAAAUUUGCAAUCAUUCAUCGUGUCUGUUUUCAUGGAUCGAUUCUACAUCCGAUUCGCCGUCGUCGUGGCUGUUGUUCUUCUGCUUCUCGGAACUUCUGUCGGUGAAGAGGUCGAUGAUGGAAAUGAAAAGGUUCGUCGCGUUCUUCUAUCUUUCUUUUCCUAAUAUUUUAUAUAUAUUGUUUCGUUUUUUUAUUUAUUUGAUAAACUGUAGAAUUCGUUACUUAUAUCGUCCCUACAGUUGUCGUCUUUUGAGGUGCCGAAUUCGCCUACUGAUUUCAAUGAUACGAGUGAGAUGAAUCGUACUAUUCACAAUCCCACGAAUUCGUCGUCGAUGAUGGGAAAACCAGGACCUCCACCGCCACUUCUGCCUACUUUGAUACCUUUGAAUGGUACGCUGAACACGACUGAUUUUCGCCCACCACCUCCAAUCACUCAGGUGGAUGGUAGACUGAAUUCACCAUCAUCACACACACCUUUGAAUGGUACACUGAAAUCACCACCGUCACCGUCAAUCCCCCCGUCUAAUGCUACACUGAAUUCAUCAAUACUACCACUGUCGCCCCCACUUUCGAAUGGUAUACUGAAUUCACCACCACCAUUGACUCCACUAAAUUCAAAGCCGGUGAUGCCAAGACCUGUUAAAAACAGGACAUUUGAGUCAAAUAAGACAGAUGGGUUACCAAAGUGCAGCAAAUUGAACGCCACCAAUUGUUUUGAUGGGGGAUUAGUCGCCUGUCUUUGGCAUUCUCAAGAUGGUAAUUUCUUAUUUUCUUACUCUUUGCAGUUUUUUCCAAGUAAAUUCGGUAUCAUGUGAGCUAAUGAGGAAAACUGUGAGACACAUCUUUCAUGUUAAAAGGUCAUGGGAUAUUUAAAUCUAGAACUCCAUAACCACUUGGACAGUUAGUUAACGAAGAUCUCAUUGGGUAAAUCAUAUUAGGUAAUUGAAUCUCAUUGUUCUUUAUUUCUUAUUAUCAGCACUUCAUAUUACUUAUAAUUAAAAAGUGAUAAAUGGGGCUUACGGGUUAUUCUUAUUGAUCAAAGAUGGAAAUAAAUCAAUAUGUACUGUCAAAAAAUUAAAUUGCAUUUGGAUUUCUAAAAUGUAAGAUUGUAUGACAUGAUUUUUAAAAUGUCUAAUUAUUACUUUAUAUAUUUACUUUGAAACUAAAAAAAACUUCAUUAUUUAAUUUAAAAUUUCUUCAAUUUCAGGGUCUAAGAAACUUUUCAUCAUCCUCGAAAAUAGAGGAAAAUCUCGUAAUGUUACGAUCGUAACACAAUCCAUCACGAAAUAUAAAUUUCUCUCUGAGAACAGCUUCAACAAGGUUCGUUCCCUCAAGCCUGAUUUUGAUUAUCGCCCAAAAUUCUAAAUUUCUUUGUGUUGUUGAUUCAUUCCAGUUCGAAAUCAGCUCAGCAGUUAAUUCACCAGUGGUUCUAAAUUUCAAAAACAACAACUGCACAAUCAAUCCCACAAGUGAUCUUCAUUUCCAACAAGCAUCUCCUUCCUCCCAAUUUAGUUUCACAAUACCACCUAUAUAUACUCUCCAGCCAAGUCCAAUCUACUUUGCGUACGUUUUUUUUUUAAUAUCUUUGAUAUCUGUAGGAGCGUGUGUUUGUUGUAGAUUUUGUAGAGGGAGUAGAAAUACUGAUGUUGGAAUACCGUACCAACAACUUGAAAUGGAAGCACUUCAAACUCAAACUGUAACUUCUUUAGUUUCUGAUAUAGAAGCACCAUCCUCACAACAACAUGGUUGGGAUCAGUGGGAAGAUGAUUGGGAGGAGGAGGAGGAAAUAACAUCAAACCCCCAGCAAAAGAAACCAAAUGAGCAUACUACCACCAAUACUACUACCAAAGAUGGAUGGGAAGAUUGGGAUGAUUGAUUUUAAUUGGAUUUUAUUCAUAUUUCAUCGGCAAAGUUGAAUACGACGCAUUAAGAUGAGUGACUGAGUUUGCUCCCCCAGGUGAUUUUUUUUGCAGGAAACAAAAAGUAAUGUAAGGUUAGAUUUUUUUGUUGAUUUAAUAUUUUUUUUUUUGAGGAUGUUAGUUAUUAUUUAUUAAGCAUCUUUAUUGUUUAUUGGGUUCAGCUAGGGGUGAGCAGGUAGGGGGAAACACUCGGACCUAAGUACCUAAGGCUAGCAUCCGACCAAAUUAUUGAUUAUUUUAUUGAUUUUAAACAAUAAUGUAGAUUUGGUGGAGAAAUAGAUUUGGGGUUAAAGAUUUAGAAUGUAGAGGGUUGAAUAUAAACUUAUGUAUUUAAUAUAUUAUAUAAGGUUAUUUAUAUAAAUUAUAUUUAUACCUUAUAUAUCUUAUAUAAUAUUUUAUAUAAGGUAUAAAUAUAAUUUAAUUUAAGUACGAGUUUUAUCUGAGAUGGGGAUUUGAAUCUCGUUACUCGAAAAUGACUGGGGAUUUUGGUCAGGGAUUGGGAUUUUCCUACUUCAUGUAGAAAAUCCUUCUUGUACCUGUACUCGACGGAUACAGGGGAUCUCACCCCUAGUUUCAACCUUUCAAGAAAAGGUGGAAAUGGGGUUAGGUCAUGGCUAGGAUGUCAAAUAAAGCUUAGUUCGUUAAGCUCAGGUUCAACGUGUUAAGGAUUUUUUAGUAAUUAAAUAAAAUAUAGAUAUAGAUUUAAAAAAAAAAAUCAGAUUUUAGAUUUGUUUUUCAAUUUACAGAAUUGCAGGUUAAAUUUAAAAUUCGAACCCAAGUUUGUCGAUUUUGCUAACGAGUCCGAGUCUGGAUAAUUCUUUAACGAGCCGAGCUCGAGUUUCAGAAAUUAAGAUCUGAUUUUGGGUCCGGUUAGAACUGAAAGGUGUAAAUCCAGGAUCAGAUAAGCUUCACAAACCCAUAUAAUUUAGGUAAAGAUAAAAUCCAUCAAUUUUUCAAUCGAAGUUCAAAAAAAGAUUUCCUUAUCAAAAUUUAAAUUCUGAAAAAUAUGAACCACAAAUUAAUCAUUACUACUAUUGAUCAUUACUACUAUGAUCCAAUGUCAACAUUUCGACACAACAAGAUUAACUCAACUGAUUACAAUAAUUAUUAAAAUUAUUAAGUGUUCAGAAUUUUAGUAUCGUUGUGUAUGUAAUUUUUAUUUUAUUUUUAUUAUGAUUUAAUCGAUAUUUUAUUAUAUGACCUUAAUAUAAGUUUUUCUACGUGUAAAAAGAUCGCAAGUGUGAAUGAUUGAAUAUACGGAGUUAACGAUGGCUCGAUGUUGAUUAUCAAAUGAAGAUAUUAUUAAAAAAAACUUGAUUAAUUUAAUUAAAAUAAAAAAUAUGGACAUGAGGGUCCCCUGAAAAUAUGGACUUGAUCCAUUCCAUCAAUUAGAUGCUGAGACCCCAUCAGUUUAUUGUUCCAUUCCAUUAUUUGAAUUUUCAAUAUCUUUGAUGAUGUUGAAUCUAGAGAAUUGUUUUAAUUUUUAAAUAUGAAUUAGAUUUUUAAUAUCAAAAAAUUCAAAUAAUGAUGGAUUUGUCAUUUGUCAGUUGUCAAUUUAUCAUCGAUUAAAAAUAAUAGUAAAAAAUAUUUAGUCAAAUAAAUAAAAGGAAAAUUCAACAAAGGUGAGCCAAAUCCAAAUCCAAAUCAACUUGUAAGAGGAAUCAAGCUAUAUAAGGACCAAGAGAGCUCUCCAUCUUCACCAAUCACUUCUUCUUUUAUAACUCCAUCUUCCUCCUCCAACCGAUUAGCUACAAACAUGGCAGUCAUGAAGAUUUUUGGAACGCCUUUAUCUGUGAACGUAGCACGAGUGAUCGCCGUAAUGAAUGAGAAGAACCUGGAAUACGAACUCGUCGAUGUAAAUCUUCACAACGGUGACCAUAAAAAGGAGCCUUUCCUCUCCAUGAAUGUAAGCUUUGUUGUUAAUUUUCUCCCUUUCUUUUGACAAAUGCUUUGGAAUGGUUAAUCCUGAUUAUAAGGUCUAAAUUUGUUUUUCAGCCAUUCGGACAAGUUCCUGCUUUCCAGGAUGAUGACAUCAAGCUCUUUGGUAAAAAAAUAAAAAACAAUCUUUAUUUCUUCUUUCUAUUCUUAUAAAUAGAUUUAUAUUUGAUUCUUAAAUCAAUUCAUAUGCCAGAAUCAAGAGCGAUCUGCAAUUACAUCGUUUUCAAAUAUAAGACAGAAGGCACUGACCUUACUCACCUUGCUGACCUAAAAGAAGGUUCGAUAGUAGGUGUGUGGUGCGAAGUAGAGGCACACCAGUUCAACCCUUUGGUCAGUGGUAUAAUGUAUGAGUACAUCUUCACGAAAUUCUUGGGAGGCGAGACAAAUGAAUCCAAGAUUGAAGAAUAUUGCGCAAAGCUCACGACUGUGCUUGAUGUCUAUGAAGAGAGGCUCAAGACCUGCAAGUACUUGGCUGGUGACAAAUUCUCAAUGGCCGAUCUACAUCACUGUCCCUAUUUGGAAUUAUUCAUGAAGACGCCAAAGGCUGAGAUGGUCACUUCAAGGCCUCACGUGUUAGCUUGGUGGCAGGAUAUCUCCAGCCGUCCGGCAUGGGUGAAAGCCUCCAGUGGUAUGCAAAUUCCGUCGGCCUAGAAGUGCUUAGAUGGAAUGGAUAAUUCAUCGUGUUGUAUCGAGGAGUAAUAAUAGUAAAUAAAACGACAACAUGAGAAUAUAUAUAUAUUGUGAUUUGAAUCCUAUAUAUACAUGGUUAUUGUGACCAGUUGAGUUAAUCUUUUGUAUAUUUAUAUAGGAUGCACUUUAAGUGCACCGUAUAUUGAAUGCAUCACUGUCUGUUAUCAAAUUGUGACCAUUAGUAUUUAAUUUAAUGACUAAAAUAACGUACUGAAUAAGACAUUAACACAUGUACGACGCAAAAUGAUGUAUUGCAUAAGAUACUAACACAUGUACGACGUAAAAUCGAUUUAAUGGACAUGAUCAAUUUGGUACAUAUAACAUUCGUACUGUACGACGUAAAAUUGAUUUAAUGGACAUAAUCAACUUGGUACAUAUAACAUUUGCACUCCGCAUCUAAAUGCUACUGUUAAAGUAUUUAUAGUUUUUAGAAAGAGAUGAUUCAUAUAAUAUCAACAUAAUUUUGGACUUUCUUGGUAAAUACUACCUUCCUUAUCUAGCCAGUCCUCACUCUUCUGUUUCCAAGGUUUCUUCGGGAAAGCCAAACAGAAAACAUGGGCGGGAUGAAGCUUUACGGGAUGCCGAUGUCGACGAACACAGCGCGUGUGAUCGGUGUGUUGAAUGAAAAGAAUGUGGAGUAUGAAUUUAUCCUUGUGAAUCUCGGUAAAGGUGAGCAUAAACUGGAGAGUUUUCUCGCUAUUAACGUAAGUUUUCCCCCCUUUCUGGAUCCGGUGCUUUGAUUUCUAGGUUUUUGUUUGAUUUUUUUUUUUUUUAAUUAUUUUGCAGCCUUUCGGACAGAUUCCUGCUUUUGAAGACGGGGAUCUGAAGCUUUUUGGUAAGAAUCACUGCUGUAGAAUGAAAAAAAUAGGGUUGUGUAAUGCUAUUUUACCUAACAACACUGACGAUUUUUUUCGACUUUAACUAAGAACACAGCUUCCACUGGAAUUAACAUCUUUUUAUACUUGGAAUUCGAUUUUUAAAUAAUGAAGUCAUCAAUAUUAGUGCUACUUUAUUAUAAUUUAUAUGUAGUUAGUUGUGCUUAAAUGUAACUAAUUACAUUUAUAAAUCCUAAAACCUAAACUAAUUAUUGCAAUUUUUGUUAUUAACCCAUGACAUUAAAAUUGGAAAAUAAGAUAAAGAAAGAAUUGAAGAUAAAUCUCAUCUUACUGAAAAGUCUGAAAUAUUAAAUAUCUCAUGAUUUUUUUAAUGGAAAACACAUUAUAGAAAAAGUUACUGGUUAUUUUUUGAUUUAGAUAACUAUUUCGUAUUUUCAUUUGAUGUUUUUGCCUAUUGGAUUUAAUUCUCAAUCAUUUCAAUGACUUGAUCUUGAAUUUUAGAUCUUGGGCGUUUGUUUAUAUUUUUUUUGGAUUUUUCUCUAAUUCACCUACAUUAAAUUUGUAGUAGAAAAAAACAUCUUGAAUUGUUUAUUUUUUUACCAGAAUCAAGAGCCAUCACCAAGUACAUUGCUUAUAAGUACAUGUCUGAAGGAACAGACCUUCUCCACAUGGGUGACUUAAAUGAAGGUGCCACAGUAGAUCUCUGGGUCGAAGUAGAAGCACAACAAUACAAUCCUCAAAUAUCUGUGAUAGUGUAUGAGUGCUUGAUUAAGAAAUUAUUCGGUGAUGUAACCGAUGAAACCAAGGUUGAAGCUUGUUGUGCAAAGGUUGCACCCAUUCUUGAUGUGUAUGAAGAUAGACUCAAGACCUGCAAGUAUUUGGCUGGGGAAAAAUUCUCGCUUGCCGAUCUAAAUCACUGUGCUUACACUGAGUAUCUUAUGAGGACACCUAAAGCUGAUCUUAUAACG